Numida meleagris (helmeted guineafowl) is the source of this 2427-nucleotide long non-coding RNA. RefSeq lists it as uncharacterized. The transcript is spliced from 3 exons. The record is from RefSeq and is a predicted model, not a curated record. NCBI's taxonomy places the organism in Eukaryota, Metazoa, Chordata, Aves, Galliformes, Numididae.
UGCAGUUGUUUGAUUCCCAAGGAAUUGCAACAGACUUACAGAUUCUUCCCCAGCACAAAGAGUGGGAGGGAGCACCCACCAAGAAGUUAUUCUUACAUUUUCUGCCACCUCCUGUCCUGCCCCAGCCAAUUAAACAGCUGUGUUACAGACUGUUAAAAAGUGACUGUGUUCUGCCCCAGAAGAAGUGACAUUCAGAGAGCUGCAUUCCUAUUCUUUGCAGAGGCAAAAUCACUCAUGAAUCUUAAGCAGCUUUUGCGCAGAAUCAGUUCAACUAAUGAAAAAACAGAGAAGAUUGCUAUAAUCUCUUGAAUCUAAGGAGUAAUAUAGAGCAGUGAUUCCAUCAGGAUAAGGAAGAAAGAAAGACAUGAGAAAGAUGGCCAGGCAAGAUGAGUGAUGGUGCUUCUACCAAUACUUCAUAGACUUCCUGUGGAGAUGGAAGCCACACCAGCAAGCCGGCUCUCCUGUACUGGCCUGAGUCAGAGGAGGGACUCAGCACAGGUGCAGUACCCCAUCUGUGAGGAUUUCCUGCAUAUGAAGCUUGAGUCUCUGCAUGUUACUACUCUGGGCCAUUACAAGGCACUAGCUUGGUCAGGAAUCUCUAAUCAAGCACUGCUUUGGGUGGAUGUUCCUUUACAAAUUACAAUGCUAGUCAAGGGAAUUAAAUCAAGGAAUCUCUUAUUUACUCCUAUGGCUUCUCUUGUCUAGUUAAGCUUUGAUGGCUUAAAAGCUAGGACACUUCCUUUGAGUUUGUACAGAUCCAGCACCAGAGAUCUUCAAUUUUAGUGGCAGCUGCUAAGCACCACUGCAAUACAUGGUAAUUAAUACAAUUGUGUAUACCAAAGAAACCAGGUGACUGACAGGCAUUGCAUACCUACAUUUGAAAAGAUUAGUCCUUUAGUCUUCUUUCUGCUUAUCAAUACAUAUAUAAGUGUAAUAUUUGUGUCCCUCAGUAAAACUUUAGUGACUGUGCUCCAAAAAAUAACAAAAAAAAAAAAAGCUUGAGAUCUGGAGAGAAUGGGAGAACUGUUUCUAAAUUGUGUAUUUCUUAGGAUUUUAAAAUUCCAUCUUCCGUUUAAAAAAAAAAAUGAAAAAAUAUGGUAGGCUUUUAUUACUGCUCAAGUCUCUUGAAAACAAGCAAACAAAAAAACUCACUGAAAGCAGAAGAACUGGAGAUCAGCCAUUGCACAAACAAUUAAAAAAAAAAAAGGCAAAAAGGAAAAGACAUAUUCCAUAUCCUUGGAACAAAUUUCUGAUUAACAUUCCCCAGUUAGCACUCUUCUUCCUGCCAAGUAUCUUUUCGUUUAUAUUGUCUUUUUUGCCCACUAUUAAUCUAGUAGUUAGGAUCCAGUUCUGAGCGAUGCUUCUUCACUAAUAGAAGUUCUUUCCGGGGAUGAAAUCCUGAUUAGUAAAAGCAGUUGCAACUCUGCAGUAGUUCACUAUUGCCCUAAAGGAGGAUCCUUAUUCUAUAGCCCUGUAGGGAACUAAAAUAUUUAUGUUUCUAGUGCAAAUAACAUUCAUGGCUUUCAUUCAUUUGUCCUUUCUCUGAGACAUCUGAAAAUCAUGGGUACUCUAUUACAUCCCAAGGGCAAAGCAUCAGAUUUAUUUUCAUUGGGGAAAUUAAGUUCUUAUUUCAUAUAUUUACUCCAAGAUGUCCAUACCCUACUGCCUUUCAUGUUUUGAAAAGCAGGAAAGGUGGUUUACGCUCUUAAUGCCUUCAUUUCUUCUCUCUCUGGGAACACAAUAUGCAUUUUGUCCUCAUUUCCUCUGGUAAACCUGGUACUGUAGAAACACUGUGUCAGGAAGAAGAACCUCAGCUGCCUAAGAGUAAGAACCUAGCUCAUAACACCAGCUAAGUGUAGCUGAAACAAAUCCCACUCCUAGUCCCUACUACUUUCUGGGUAGCUCAGAGCUACCUGUUAUAAGCUGCUCAUGCUGCGCCAGCAGCCUUGUUUCAGUCAAUGUAACACCUCACACAGUGAGACAUGACCCAGCUAGCAGUAGAACUGAUUUCCCUAUUCCUUAGAUCAAUGAAUUCUGCCAUUGAUUUUCUUUAGGAUCAAAACAUUUCCGUAUCUUUAGCAUAAUGAUAUAAUAUGUCCUUGCAGGUUCAAAGCAAAGGUCUUUGCAGUCCAACAGAUAAAUAACAGAGUGCUAGAAUUAGAGCUGGAACAGUAUUUACCCUGACUCUCCUAUACAUUUCCAGCAUCUAGAAACUACACUAUUUCCUGAACUUGAGCUGUAACUUCAUCACUCUAAAUAUUUAGGCAUUGUUUGGCCAAGUGUCUGCAGCUUUAUUUGAUUGUUGUUGUUGCUUUAAGUUUAUUACAUUUGGGUCUUUCAUAACUUCCAGUGGCAAUGAGUUCCAAAUUUCUGUUGUCUCUUGAAUACUGACAGUGCCUCUACUGAAUGCGCUGUCUAAUAAAAUGU